RNAcentral lists this non-coding RNA (24 nucleotides) under Arabidopsis thaliana (thale cress). The record is from RNAcentral. Lineage: Eukaryota; Viridiplantae; Streptophyta; Magnoliopsida; Brassicales; Brassicaceae.
UAUGUUCACCACGUCAGCUCGUCC